AGAUGCUAAGUUGUGCCAACUGUAGGAGCCGGCCCUUAGAAACCCCCCAGGAGAUGUUCAGCCCUCUUAGGCACAGGGACAGCUAUUUUCUUGAACACUUGCAGCAUUCGAAUUGAUGAAGAGAUUUUUACAAACAAAUACGGAGCCUUCCCAGCACCUCCAGAUGCACCAGCUACUCUUCUCAUGGUUGUGACCAAAUACACCAGAAGAGGCAAAUUAAGACAAGAAGGGCUUGUUUUGGUUCAUGGUUUGAGGCUAUGACCAUAAUGAAUAGAAGCCUGGCAGCGCGGGAGACUCUGAGCAUGGUGGCAGAAGCUUGAAGCUGCAUGUGCAUAUCUGAGUGGGUCAAGAAUCAGAGGAUGGAGUGUGAGCUGAGAGUAUAAACCUCAAGACCAUCCUACAGCAAUCUCUAGCAUCUAAAAGUGUCUAGAACCUCUCAAAAGAAUAGCAACCCUGGGGACCAAGUAUUUGAACAUAUGACCCUAUAGGCACAUUCUACAUCCAGACAGUGACUGAUUCUACUCUUGAAGUUAGACUUUUCUAUUGAUUUGGGCAUGAGUUUUCUUACCUCUUUUCUGUGUUAUCACCAGUCUGCCAUUAGACACUAUAGCAGGAGAGUUUUUAAAUUUCAGUUAUUUGUUAUCAAGUCUAAAAUAUGCACUUGUUUUCAUCUUACCAUUUACACUCAUCUGCUCAGGGUUCCUAUCUGUUCAAUCAUGAGCACUACAUUUUCCUUUAAUUACUUGAAAAUAUUUCUGCCAAUAGUUUUAAAGAAUUUGUCUCCUAAGAUCAGAAUCUAGGCCACCUCAAAUUAAGUUAUAUUGAAACUCUCUGUUUCUUCCCAUAUCUGGUAAUGUUUUGACUCAACAUCGGACUCUGUAAAUCAUUUAUUUAGCAACUCUGGAUUUUAUUAUCUACUAGAAUUGACUGGUUCUAGAAGGAAGUUCAGUUGUCAGAUCAUUGAGUUAACUUGUUUUUAUGCUCUCUGUGUCUGAAACUCUGGAUAGCAUGUGGGCCUUUAUAAACAAGUUAGAUUGUCAUCAUUCAUGUAUUCAUUGUUACAAAUGCUGGAGAUUCAACCCAAGGUCUUGUAUGUACAUGCUAGGCAAAAAAUUAUCUGCCACGUUCCUAGCUAACUCACUGGAAUUUAAUAUCUAAAAUAAAGAUUAAUGCCUGCA
This 1178-nucleotide long non-coding RNA is filed under the name Mus musculus (house mouse). RNAcentral's name for it is "predicted gene, 51502 (Gm51502)". The record is from RNAcentral. Lineage: Eukaryota; Metazoa; Chordata; Mammalia; Rodentia; Muridae.